This 1900-nucleotide long non-coding RNA is filed under the name Ornithorhynchus anatinus (platypus). Its description in RNAcentral is "lncRNA (ENSOANG00000040076.1)". The record is from RNAcentral. Lineage: Eukaryota; Metazoa; Chordata; Mammalia; Monotremata; Ornithorhynchidae.
UGUCCCGCUUCUUUCCAAAGCAGAUCCAGGAGCUUAAUCAACAGUAACUCAUCUUCCCUUCAGGGAGAAUUUGCUGGAUGAUUCCUCUGGCUUGGAGCAGGCAGAGCAAAGCCACCGUUGAGUGGGAAGCUGCACAUGUCAGAUCUUCAGAAGAGGAGGAUCAGAAAUAGAUUUGGAUUUCCUCCUCAUCUGAGUCUUUUUUUAAAUAUUAGCACUCUAGGAGAAGAGAUGAGAAGCCUGGCCAGUGGGGAAGACAACCUGGGUCACAGGGACCCUAGAUGUGUGGCUGUAAUCCUUCCAUGACAAUCAGCUUCAUCACUGGACACUUCUUGGAUCUGGCCAGAAUAUUUCUCUCCUUGACUCACUUCUUCCUGGAUAUCACACUGAAGAUCUCUCAGUCUCCAAAGGCCUUCUGAACAGCCCUCAUGGACAUCACUUUCCAGACAUCAAAUCAUGCCCACUAUAAACUGUAAGCUCGUUGUCAACAGGGAUUGUACUUAACAACUCAAGUGCUCAGUAAAUACCCUUGAUUGAUUGAUCCUAUAGGGCUAAAAUCAGUAGGGAAAUAUAAAGCUCAGUUCAUUGGAAAACAUUACUUAUCUUUGAGUUCUGAUACCUUCCAAUCUCUCUCCCAUUUUACCCUUCUAAGAUUGAGAGGGGGGUCUUCUGUUGCCUUUGGAACUGACCCAAAGUCAGGAUUGGACUAACUCCAGAAUUCUUACUGGGAAAUUGAGAGUGAUGGCUGGGUGGAGUUUGAGGAAUGGACAUGCUUUGAUUUGUAUUAGCUGUAGUGCUCUUCUAAUUGAAUCUGAAUGACUCCUUACUCUCAUGGGGCCAUUUUGCAAAGUGGCUAAGUGGAUGAUAGCCAAGGUGCUUCUGUGAGCCACAUGGACCCAAAUGUGGCCCACAAAGUCUCCCAAGAGCCUCAGUGGCCCCCUCCUCCUGAUUCUCCUGGCAUCCUGACUCAUGGAUCCUGGUUCAGUGCUCUCUAUGUAAUGGAUGUUCAAUGAAUACUGCUGACUGGCUGGAGGAAAGAACAGAACUCUGGAAGAUGGGUCCUUAAGAAGCCUCAGUUCCCCCAAGACAGUACUCUAAGAGGGGAGAACAUUAAGAUCCAGAACUGAUCAGGGUCCCUCCUCAAAAGAUUAGUCCUCCAUUUCCAAAGGGAAAUUAAAAACCUGUACCCAGUUAUGGAAUGCUAAGAUGGUGGGUUUGUGGUAAGUGGACUUUGCUUUGACAAAACCCCCAGUCCCCAAAACAACUCAGUUCUCCAAUAGUGUUUAUAAGCAGCAAAGCUCUCAGCACCAUUGCUGCAGUAAAAUUUUAUUAAUGUGAUUUUUAUAAAUGCAGCCCCACUUAUCAAAUAUUUAUACAGAGACAGUAAAACCCAGGCUGGUUUUGGCAGCCACGGGGAUGGGUUCCCCCCACAGCGGGGUAUUAUGGGGACAGGUAAGACCCUUGAAUUUUAUGUCAGGGAUGCCUGAGUGAUCUGCUUUUGGUGUGGAUUUUCCUUGGCUCGGGGCCGAUUCUCUGGCCCUUCAGAAGUCUCACUAAGUCAUACCCUGUUUGGAACUGCCUUUGAAGUCCACAGGAGCUCUGUGAGCAGAAAACAGAAGCCACGGGUGUUGGUGUGAAUAAGAAUCAGGCCUCUGUGCAGAGGUAUAAAGGGGUUUCUCACCCAAAGUAUUAUCUCGUUAGCGCAUAAAAGUAGAGUUUGGUUUUAAGUAAAAGAGCUGGAAAAGCAUCCUCCAAGGAGAGGAUAUCUAGAUGAUUAUUGGAGAGUUUUAAUUAAAGCAAUAGAUAAAAUAAGAGCAAAGCUGUGUUAUUACUCUUAACAUAUCAAUAGAAUAAACACUCUCAUUUUUCAGGGCAGUUUGCUAAAUGAAAACAUAAACAGUAC